Molecule: antisense RNA, 187 nt
Filed under: Cyanobacterium aponinum PCC 10605
Lineage: Bacteria; Bacillati; Cyanobacteriota; Cyanophyceae; Chroococcales; Geminocystaceae
Description: Antisense RNA which regulates isiA expression
Rfam family: Antisense RNA which regulates isiA expression
Source: Rfam by way of RNAcentral
AGUAACCAAAGAUGAUGGCAGGGUUUAAGGUAGGAUUAGUGAUAAUACGAACAUCACCGCCACCGGGUGCCCAAGUAUCAUAUACACCACCGAAGAACAUGGCUUUAAAUACGAGCAGUAAUGCACCAAUCCCUAAAAGGAUUAGGUGAUAACCGAUGAUAUUGGUCAUUUGGUUUUUAUCUUUCCA